Molecule: ribosomal RNA, 599 nt
Filed under: Morchella americana
Lineage: Eukaryota; Fungi; Ascomycota; Pezizomycetes; Pezizales; Morchellaceae
Description: eukaryotic LSU rRNA
Rfam family: Eukaryotic large subunit ribosomal RNA
Source: RNAcentral
CAAUUAGCGGAGGAAAAGAAACCAACAGGGAUUGCCUCACGGCGAGUGAAGCGGCAAAAGCUCAAAUUUUAAAGCUGGCACCUCCGGUGUCCGCGUUGUAAUUUUGUGAGGCAUCUCCGGGUGGGGCGCCGGCCUAAGUUCCUUGGAACAGGACGUCAUAGAGGGUGAGAAUCCCGUGCUUGGCUGGCUGUCCCCGUCCAUGUGAGGUGUCUUCGACGAGUCGAGUUGUUUGGGAAUGCAGCUCAAAAUGGGUGGUAAAUUUCAUCUAAAGCUAAAUAUUGGUGGGAGACCGAUAGCGCACAAGUAGAGUGAUCGAAAGAUGAAAAGCACUUUGAAAAUAGAGUUAAAAAGUACGUGAAAUUGUUGAAAGGGAAGCGCUUGAGACCAGACUUCGGUGGGGAGUGAUCAGCCGUCCUUCUGGGCGGUGCGCUUGCCCCCCUCCGGGCCAGCAUCGGUUGGGACGGCGGGAUAAAGGUCCCGGGAAUGUGGCUCCUCUCGGGGAGUGUUAUAGCCCGGGUGAAUGCCGCCAGCCCCGACCGAGGACCGCGCCUUCGGGCUAGGAUGCUUGGCAUAAUGGUCUUCAGCGACCCGUCUUAAAA